GAUGAACGCUGGCGGCGUGCCUAAUACAUGCAAGUCGAGCGAACAGACGAGUAGCUUGCUCCUCUGACGUUAGCGGCGGACGGGUGAGUAACACGUGGAUAACCUACCUAUAAGACUGGGAUAACUUCGGGAAACCGGAUCUAAUACCGGAUAAUAUUUUUAACCGCAUGGUUCAAUAGUGAAAGACGGUUUUGCUGUCACUUAUCGAUGGAUCCGCGCUGCAUUAGCUAGUUGGUAAGGUAACGGCUUACCAAGGCAACGAUGCGUAGCCGACCUGAGAGGGGGGUCGGCCACACUGGAAGGGGGACAGGGUCCAGGGUCCUGCGGGAGGGAGCAGUAGGGAAUGUUCGGCAAUGGGCGAGAGCCUGACGGAGCGACGCCGCGUGAGUGAUGAAGGUCUUCGGAUCGGAAAACUCUGUUAUUAGGGAAGAACAAAUGUGGAAGUAACUGUGCACGUCGUGACGGUACCUAAUCAGAAAGCCACGGCUAACUACGUG
Molecule: ribosomal RNA, 497 nt
Filed under: uncultured bacterium
Lineage: Bacteria
Description: partial 16S ribosomal RNA
Rfam family: Bacterial small subunit ribosomal RNA
Source: RNAcentral